Molecule: ribosomal RNA, 329 nt
Filed under: uncultured eukaryote
Lineage: Eukaryota
Description: partial 18S ribosomal RNA
Rfam family: Eukaryotic small subunit ribosomal RNA
Source: RNAcentral
CCCUUAGAUGUUCUGGGCCGCACGCGCGCUACACUGAUGCAUUCAACGAGUCUAAAACCUGGUCUGAUAGGGCUGGGUAAUCUUUUGAAAGUGCAUCGUGAUUGGGAUAGAUGAUUGCAAUUAUUAAUCUUGAACGAGGAAUUCCUAGUAAACGCAAGUCAUCAGCUUGCAUUGAUUACGUCCCUGCCCUUUGUACACACCGCCCGUCGCACCUACUGAUUGAAUGACUCGGUGAAAAAUCGGGACUGCGAGAACAAUCGAUUAAUUUCGAAUGUACUUGUGGGAACUUUUUUUAACCUCGCCAUUUAGAAGAAGGUGAAGUCGUAACA